This 1124-nucleotide ribosomal RNA is filed under the name uncultured bacterium. Its description in RNAcentral is "bacterial SSU rRNA". It matches the Rfam family "Bacterial small subunit ribosomal RNA", at positions 99 to 1241 of the family's 1533-position model. The record is from RNAcentral.
UUAACGGGUGAGGAACACGUGAGAAACUUGCCUUUCAUUCUGGGAUAACACCGGGAAACCGGUGCUAAUACCGGAUACUCCGUCUUGGCGGCAUCGCCGAGCCGGGAAAAAAUUUUGAUGAAAGAUGGUCUCGCGGCCUAUCAGCUAGUUGGUGAGGUAAUGGCUCACCAAGGCGACGACGGGUAGCCGGCCUGAGAGGGCGACCGGCCACACUGGGACUGAGACACGGCCCAGACUCCUACGGGAGGCAGCAGUAGGGAAUAUUGGGCAAUGGGCGCAAGCCUGACCCAGCGACGCCGCGUGAGGGAUGAAGGUCUUCGGAUUGUAAACCUCUUUCAGUAGGGAAGAAGCGAAAGUGACGGUACCUAAAGAAGAAGCACCGGCUAACUAUGUGCCAGCAGCCGCGGUAAUACAUAGGGUGCAAGCGUUGUCCGGAAUUAUUGGGCGUAAAGAGCUCGUAGGUCGUUUGUCACGUCGAUUGUGAAAAUCUGAGGCUCAACCUCAGACCUGCAGUCGAUACGGGCAAACUAGAGUGUGGUAGGGGAGACUGGAAUUCCUGGUGUAGCGGUGGAAUGCGCAGAUAUCAGGAGGUACACCAAUGGCGAAGGCAGGUCUCUGGGCCAUAACUGACCCUGAGGAGCGAAAGUGCGGGGAGCGAACAGGAUUAGAUACCCUGGUAGUCCGCACCGUAAACGGUGGGCACUAGUUGUGGGAACCUUCCACGGUUUCCGCGACGCAGCAAACGCAUUAAGUGCCCCGCCUGGGGAGUACGAUCGCAAGAUUAAAACUCAAAGGAAUUGACGGGGCCCCGCACAAGCAGCGGAGCAUGCGGCUUAAUUCGACGCAACGCGAAGAACCUUACCAAGGCUUGACAUAUAGCGAAAAGUGGCAGAGAAGUCAUGUCCGCAAGGGCGCUAUACAGGUGGUGCAUGGUUGUCGUCAGCUCGUGUCGUGAGAUGUUGGGUUAAGUCCCGCAACGAGCGCAACCCUCGUUCUGUGUUACCAGCAUUUAGUUGGGGACUCACAGGAGACUGCCGGGGUCAACUCGGAGGAAGGUGGGGAUGACGUCAAAUCAUCAUGCCCCUUAUGUCUUGGGCUGCACGCAUGCUACAAUGGCCGGUACA